Molecule: long non-coding RNA, 1140 nt
Organism: Aedes aegypti (yellow fever mosquito)
Lineage: Eukaryota; Metazoa; Arthropoda; Insecta; Diptera; Culicidae
Exons: 3
Source: RefSeq, a predicted model, not a curated record
UCCUCUUAAAACUGAAUGAAUAUUCAAAUUCGGAUGCCUUGUUGCUGAUGAGAAUUGCACUCAUUGGCUUGUUCCGAAUGAUUGCAUAAAUUUGGGAAGUGCAACAGAGAGUUACAUAAGGCAGAGAACGACUAACCGCGAGUGACGACAAUGUGAUCACCGAGUCGUCUGUAGCAAAGUGUGGAGAACAAGAGAGUGGACUAUGAAACGGCGCAGCGCAAAACCUUAAGGUGGAACAGCUUUGUGCACUAGCAAAAAGUUUAAAAUAAUAAGAUCGACUGAAGUUUAGUACCUUUGAAACCGUGAGUAAGGACACAAGUCCGUCAUUGUGACAGCCAUGCUUGGAUUCCGACAUGGUUAACCUUAAGUGAAGCGUGUCUUUCGGAAGCCGGUGCGUUUUUCGGUAGAUGUGGAUGUUAUCGUGGCUUAUCAUAAUCGGCGCGAAACGAUAGAACUCGGUUGACUGUAUUUAAAAGGCGUGCAGGUGUUGUGAGAUUGUGUGAAGAGCAAAUUGGGCGUACCACCACAGAUUGACAAGCCAACGGUGAAACGAAUACUGCAUGGAAUUUGACAUCGACGGACAUAGUGCACCGAAAAGGUCAAUUGAUUCGAUUAGAUUUGGUUAGAUGGAGUGAGGUUGAAUAUAUCUCGAUGCUAAUGGCUGGUUGUCUAAUAUUUUGAUAUGUAAAAUACUUUCAUUGCUGGAGGACCUUGUCGAACAGUUCCAUGAGCGUUGCCAGAUUUUCAAUGAGGAGGGGGGCAAUUUUGAGCGACUUCAAAAAUCCAUUCUCGAAAAUCAUUUUACACAAUCUCUGCACAAUUUUGUAUGGAACGUUAAUGUAAGACAAUCACUAAGGUGACCCAUACUGAUCAAACUACAAAAAUCUUAAGUAACACCCCCCAGAUUUGUUUGAUUCCUCAGAAGCACUGUGCAAAUUUGAGCGGAAUCUCAACUUAAGCGGGGUCGGGGUGGUGGCUAAGCGAGAUGACGCUGUUGUCGAUGAAUGUCUUUCAUUGUUAACUUGAAGAUUCUCCAAGCAAUGGAGGAGAAACGAUAAAUACCGGAAAUAUUUUCGUUUGAGGUGAAGAUGAAUCGAAGCCAAAGUUCAAAUUUUCAAGAGCACGGAUCUGGAGAACCAA